Molecule: ribosomal RNA, 398 nt
Filed under: uncultured bacterium
Lineage: Bacteria
Description: partial 16S ribosomal RNA
Rfam family: Bacterial small subunit ribosomal RNA
Source: RNAcentral
AUACGUAGGGUGCGAGCGUUGUCCGGAAUUACUGGGCGUAAAGAGCUCGUAGGUGGUUUGUCGCGUCGUCUGUGAAAUUCCGGGGCUUAACUCCGGGCGUGCAGGCGAUACGGGCAUAACUUGAGUACUGUAGGGGAGACUGGAAUUCCUGGUGUAGCGGUGAAAUGCGCAGAUAUCAGGAAGAACACCGGUGGCGAAGCCGGGUCUCUGGGCAGUAACUGACGCUGAGGAGCGAAAGCAUGGGUAGCGAACAGGAUUAGAUACCCUGGUAGUCCAUGCCGUAAACGGUGGGCGCUAGGUGUAGGGGUCUUCCACGACUUCUGUGCCGUAGCUAACGCAUUAAGCGCCCCGCCUGGGGAGUACGGCCGCAAGGCUAAAACUCAAAUGAAUUGACGGGG